Molecule: ribosomal RNA, 497 nt
Filed under: uncultured bacterium
Lineage: Bacteria
Description: partial 16S ribosomal RNA
Rfam family: Bacterial small subunit ribosomal RNA
Source: RNAcentral
GACGAACGCUGGCGGCGUGCCUAAUACAUGCAAGUAGAACGCUGAAGAGAGGAGCUUGCUCUUCUUGGAUGAGUUGCGAACGGGUGAGUAAAGCGUAGGUAACAUGCCUUGUAGCGGGGGAUAACUCUUGGAAACGCUAGCUAAUACCGCAUAAAAUUGGAUGACACAUGUCAUUUAUUUGAAAGGGGCAAUUGUUCUACUACAAGAUGGACCUGCGUUGUAUUAGUUAGUAGGUGAGGUAAUGGCUCACCUAGGCGACGAUACAUAGCCGGCCUGAGGAGGUGGUCGGCCACACUGGGACUGGGACACGGCCCAGGCUCCUACGGGGGGCAGCAGUAGGGAAACUUCGGCAAUGGGGGCAACCCUGACCGGGCAACGCCGCGUGAGUGAAGAAGGGUUUCGGAUCGUAAAGCUCUGUUGUUAGUCAAGAACGGGUGUGAGAGUGGAAAGUUCACACUGUGACGGUAGCUUACCAGAAAGGGACGGCUAACUACGUG